UACGGGGGGGGGCAAGCGUUGUUCGGAAUUACUGGGCGUAAAGGGCUCGUAGGCGGCCAACUAAGUCAGACGUGAAAUCCCUCGGCUUAACCGUGGAACUGCUGGGUAUACUGGCGAUCUUGAGGUGCUCAGGGGCGAGCGGAACAGAUGGUGGAGCGGUGAAAUGCGUAGAUAUCAUCUGGAACGCCUGCGGUGAAAACGGCUCGCUGGGAGCAAUCUGACGCUGAGAACACGAAAGCCAGGGGAGCGAACGGG
This 255-nucleotide ribosomal RNA is filed under the name uncultured bacterium. Its description in RNAcentral is "partial 16S ribosomal RNA". It matches the Rfam family "Bacterial small subunit ribosomal RNA", at positions 524 to 776 of the family's 1533-position model. The record is from RNAcentral.